GACGAACGCUGGCGGCGUGCCUAAUACAUGCAAGUCGAACGAGAGCGACCGGUGCUUGCACUGGUCAAUCUAGUGGCGAACGGGUGAGUAACACGUGGGUAACCUGCCCAUCAGAGGGGGAUAACAUCCGGAAACGGAUGCUAAAACCGCAUAGGUCUUCGAACCGCAUGGUUUGAAGAGGAAAAGAGGCGCAAGCUUCUGCUGAUGGAUGGACCCGCGGUGCAUUAGCUAGUUGGUGAGGUAACGGCUCACCAAGGCCGUGAUGCAUAGCCGACCUGAGAGGGUGAUCGGCCACAUUGGGACUGAGACACGGCCCAAACUCCUACGGGAGGCAGCAGUAGGGAAUCUUCCGCAAUGGAAGCAAGUCUGACGGAGCAACGCCGCGUGAGUGAAGAAGGUUUUCGGAUCGUAAAACUCUGUUGUUAGAGAAGAACAAGUGCUAGAGUAACUGUUAGCGCCUUGACGGUAUCUAACCAGAAAGCCACGGCUAACUACGUG
Molecule: ribosomal RNA, 498 nt
Filed under: uncultured bacterium
Lineage: Bacteria
Description: partial 16S ribosomal RNA
Rfam family: Bacterial small subunit ribosomal RNA
Source: RNAcentral